RNAcentral lists this ribosomal RNA (359 nucleotides) under uncultured bacterium. RNAcentral's name for it is "partial 16S ribosomal RNA". It matches the Rfam family "Bacterial small subunit ribosomal RNA", at positions 523 to 880 of the family's 1533-position model. The record is from RNAcentral.
AUACGUAGGGGGCGAGCGUUGUCCGGAAUGAUUGGGCGUAAAGGGCGCGUAGGCGGCCCGGUAAGUCUGGAGUGAAAGUCCUGUUUUUAAGAUGGGAAUUGCUUUGGAUACUGUCGGGCUUGAGUGCAGGAGAGGUAAGUGGAAUUCCCGGUGUAGCGGUGAAAUGCGUAGAGAUUGGGAGGAACACCAGUGGCGAAGGCGACUUACUGGACUGUAACUGAUGCUGAGGCGCGAAAGUGUGGGGAGCAAACAGGAUUAGAUACCCUGGUAGUCCACACUGUAAACGAUGAAUGCUAGGUGUAGGGGGUAUCGACCCCUUCGGUGCCGCAGUCAACACAAUAAGCAUUCCGCCUGGGGAG